Molecule: ribosomal RNA, 484 nt
Filed under: uncultured bacterium
Lineage: Bacteria
Description: partial 16S ribosomal RNA
Rfam family: Bacterial small subunit ribosomal RNA
Source: RNAcentral
AUUGAACGCUGGCGGCAUGCUUUACACAUGCAAGUCGAACGGCAGCGCGGGCUUCGUCCUGGCGGCGAGUGGCGAACGGGUGAGUAAUGCAUCGGAACGUGCCCAGUAGUGGGGGAUAGCCCGGCGAAAGCCGGAUUAAUACCGCAUACGACCUGAGGGUGAAAGCGGGGGACCGAAAGGCCUCGCGCUAUUGGAGCGGCCGAUGUCGGAUUAGCUAGUUGGUGGGGUAAAGGCUUACCAAGGCGACGAUCCGUAGCUGGUCUGAGAGGACGACCAGCCACACUGGGACUGAGACACGGCCCAGACUCCUACGGGAGGCAGCAGUGGGGAAUUUUGGACAAUGGGGGCAACCCUGAUCGAGCCAUGCCGCGUGCGGGAAGAAGGCCUUCGGGUUGUAAAACGCUUUUGUUCGGGAAGAAAACCUCUGGGCUAAUACCCCGGGGGGAUGACGGUACCGGAAGAAUAAGCAACGGCUAACUACGUG